RNAcentral lists this transfer RNA (88 nucleotides) under Acidimicrobiaceae bacterium. RNAcentral's name for it is "tRNA-Ser". It matches the Rfam family "tRNA". Rfam says of the family: Transfer RNA (tRNA) molecules are approximately 80 nucleotides in length. Their secondary structure includes four short double-helical elements and three loops (D, anti-codon, and T loops). Further hydrogen bonds mediate the characteristic L-shaped molecular structure. tRNAs have two regions of fundamental functional importance: the anti-codon, which is responsible for specific mRNA codon recognition, and the 3' end, to which the tRNAs corresponding amino acid is attached (by aminoacyl-tRNA synthetases). tRNAs cope with the degeneracy of the genetic code in two manners: having more than one tRNA (with a specific anti-codon) for a particular amino acid; and 'wobble' base-pairing, i.e. permitting non-standard base-pairing at the 3rd anti-codon position. The record is from RNAcentral. Lineage: Bacteria; Bacillati; Actinomycetota; Acidimicrobiia; Acidimicrobiales; Acidimicrobiaceae.
GGAACGGUGGCAGAGUGGAGAUACGCUUCCGCCUUGAAAGCGGUGGGCUGUAAAUGGCCCGGGGGUUCGAAUCCCUCCCGUUCGGCCA